UCCAUUCAGCUCUUUCCAGCCACAGC
Molecule: non-coding RNA, 26 nt
Filed under: Mus musculus (house mouse)
Lineage: Eukaryota; Metazoa; Chordata; Mammalia; Rodentia; Muridae
Source: RNAcentral